Molecule: long non-coding RNA, 2754 nt
Filed under: Xyrichtys novacula (pearly razorfish)
Lineage: Eukaryota; Metazoa; Chordata; Actinopteri; Labriformes; Labridae
Source: RNAcentral
GGGCUGAGGUUGGGAGUUGGAGGGUAGUAGGGAUAGGCCUCAGCUUACCCCACUCUUUUUGGCAUGCUAUAUAGAAACUGUAAACUUAGUUUCUUUUCCACCCAUUUCUGGGGCGUGUGAGUCUUCCCUGGUGAAGACUCAGGGUCCUUGGCACAAUAACAGCUGCAGGAGAGAGAACCAAAGUAUGGCAUAUUUUCAGUGAGUAAAAAUGAGCAGCUGACUAAAAUAUUUCUUACACCAAUUGAAUUCCCUUGAAAAUCACUACUUUGUGAUAGUAAUUCAUAACCACUGCGCUAAAUAAAGAUAGCAUGCAAAUUCCAGGACCACUCUUACUUACUUUAUCCACUACAUGCAGCUAUCAAAUCCAGCCAAACCUACUUUACCCUCUAUCACCUGAACAUGUGCCAAAGAUGUCAAAGGCAAUGCUGAAGCUAACCAAGGACCCAUGAUACUCAGGCAAACACAACAUAACAAAAAUCAUGUAAACAUGUUUGGUCGGGUGAAAAUCACCCGGCGAUAGUGUUGUGGGGUUAAGCAUACAGAUGGAAUAUAAGCAAUGUUUAUACACAAUAAAAUACAUUAUGCAAAAUAGAUCCUCAAACACAUAAUCACUGAUUAGAUUUAGCUACCUUUAGAGAAAAGCAGCUUGUAAACAUAGAAACUAAAGCCAAUUAAAAACCAUCUUUGCGAGGCUUUGAUUAAUGGUUUGCAAAUAAUUAAAACCCUGUGUUUGAUAAAAAUGAUGCAAAGACAACAUAAAAUGAAUCAAAUGUAGGAACAGAAAAAAGUCCAAAUAUAAGCUCAUUUUAAGUUUGAUGAAAGGAUGCUUCGUCCAGGAUUUCUACAAAGAACGUCAAAGUUGAUUCAGAUAUGUAGAUAUUUUUCAUAUGGAUCCUACCAAUGCAUGAUUACACUAUUUUACAUCAUAUCAUACAUUUUAAUAGUAUUUUAAUAUAUUUUGUAUUUGUAUUAAAGCUGUGGGAACAUUUUUGACAUCAAUGAAACAUUCUGAAAUUCACAUGGGAAAUUAUCUUUUGGUAUUCUAGGUAAACUUUGCCAAUAAGUCAGACUUGUGCCAAACACUGAAGCUACUUUCACCUUUUUUAAAUGAAAAUUGUAAAAUUUCCACUGUGAAUGAUAUGAUAAUUGCACAUCUUCACCAUCAGAUCAGUUUUUCAUGUCUUAAUUGUGAAGUAGGCCCACUGCCUUUUUUUGCAUGAGUCACAGUUUAAAAGAUAGAGUGAUAUAACUUCAUUGUUCACUCUUUUUUUAGCUUUCCAUCAACUUUGCAGCCUUGGGGACUGACUCACACUGGGCAAAAGGGAGGCUCGACUGCUCCCAUCACCUCUGCUCCCCUCCCCCCUCUCUUUUUAUGGACCUACCCUCUGAAAAAAGGUCAGGAGGUCAUUCAGUAGUCUAUUGUGCUGUCAGUGAUGGCGAGAGUUAAUAAAAUCUGAGUAUGAAGAGGUCAAUAAUGAGAUUUAAUGAAUUAUAGAUCAUACAUGUUCAUCUUCAGGAGGGUUUUCCUCUCAGUAGCAUCCUCUGUCUGAGUCUGAAUCUGGAAUAAUUCAUUUUCUCUGCUGGGCUCUUGAUCUGAUGAGGUUAUCACUGCCUGUCUACAUAUGCAGUUUUCCCUCUCUUUCAGCCGGAGAGCACCCUUCAUGCCUGCCUGACCCACAAUCUGAUGUCACACAUCUGUCAAGGAACGGAGGCUUGAUAAAGCUUUGAUAAACAACAUGGUUUGUCGUUUCUCCACAGCCUCUCUCUCUCUCUCUCUUUCUCUCACUCUCUCCCUCUCGCUCUCUGACAGCAAGGUCAGCAGUUGUAUUAUGAGAGCAGAUGUGCGUACACCCUGUCCAGCCCCGAGAACAACAAGGGGGACAUUGAUUUUCCUGUAAUAACAUCACUCUGUGUACUGCGGGGACUAAAUUAAUCUCAUAUCUGCUGUAUUAUGACCUGCGCUGAUUGUUCAUUAGGACUAAAGCACAUAGCUGAAAGAUGAGGCAUUGUGUUAGCAUUAGCAUUGUUGUGGGGGAGGUUAGCUGGGGUUCACAGACAGACUCUACCAGAGCACAGUGAUAAGAGCAGACUCAGUCGUACUGUUAUUGGACUCAGUGCUAAGUGGACCCUGGGGGCAGACACUGCACUGAGUCGUUUUCAUACAUCCUGUCUGGGAUCAAUGAGGGAUAUUGAAAUAUGUGUGCAGUUGGUCAGAGGAUGUUUCUGUAAUUUGGGGUAAUGAUGCUUGCUAAAGAGCUGGUCUGGGGUCACAAACAUACACACACCUGAAACGCAGAGCCUCAGGUGUCAGGCGGCUCAUGGUGGACUUCUCAGGACUUUUCUGGUGUGUGCCAGUGGGCGGAGUCAAAUUCCACUUCAGCCACAAUGAAAGCUAGAGUUGUAUUUUCGACAAGUGGUCAAUCAGUGGUUCUAAAAUCAUUUGGAUUGUUCUUUAUUUAAAGUGUUGGGCUGAUUCUGCCCUUAUAUGUAAUCUGAAUAUAAAUGAAAUACUAUGAAUUACCAGGUUCAAAGCCAGGACCAGGCCCAAGGAUCAUUUCUUUGAUCAAAACCAACACAAGACUUAAAGGGAUAUUCAGGCGUAAUACUAAUUUAGGGUAACUCUGAGUUAGACACCCUCUCGACAGAUGAAUGUUGCCGAUUUCUUGCUUCUCUAGUUAUACCAACUUUAGUAACGACUGCAGGAUAGUAAUACACAGCGGUCUUAGGAGCCACACACAAACCUCAACCAAAACG